This 492-nucleotide ribosomal RNA is filed under the name uncultured bacterium. RNAcentral describes it as "partial 16S ribosomal RNA". It matches the Rfam family "Bacterial small subunit ribosomal RNA", at positions 29 to 507 of the family's 1533-position model. The record is from RNAcentral.
AGUGAACGCUGGCGGUAGGCCUAACACAUGCAAGUCGAACGGCAGCACAGUAAGAGCUUGCUCUUACGGGUGGCGAGUGGCGGACGGGUGAGGAAUACAUCGGAAUCUACUUUUUCGUGGGGGAUAGCGUAGGGAAACUUACGCUAAUACCGCAUACGACCUACGGGUGAAAGCAGGGGAUCUUCGGACCUUGCGCGAUUGAAUGAGCCGAUGUCGGAUUAGCUAGUUGGCGGGGUAAAGGCCCACCAAGGCGACGAUCCGUAGCUGGUCUGAGAGGAUGAUCAGCCACACUGGAACUGAGACACGGUCCAGACUCCUACGGGAGGCAGCAGUGGGGAAUAUUGGAUAAUGGGCGCAAGCCUGAUCCAGCCAUACCGCGUGGGUGAAGAAGGCCUUCGGGUUGUAAAGCCCUUUUGUUGGGAAAGAAAAGCAGCAGGUUAAUACCCCGCUGUUCUGACGGUACCCAAAGAAUAAGCACCGGCUAACUUCGUG